Molecule: long non-coding RNA, 957 nt
Organism: Passer montanus (Eurasian tree sparrow)
Lineage: Eukaryota; Metazoa; Chordata; Aves; Passeriformes; Passeridae
Exons: 2
Source: RefSeq, a predicted model, not a curated record
UGUCCCAUUUUCUGGGGAAUGGGCUGUAAAGGGUUUCCAGCCAGAAGAGAGCUGCAGUGGCCGGUAUGUGGCAGCUCAGCCAUGGAAUGCUGACAGCCUGGGGACAAAUGUGACCAGCAGGGAAGCUGCAACCCCCCAUUCCCCACAUCCACCACGUCCCGGGAGGGCUCCACCACCUCAUCCCCACCCCUGUCCCUGUCCCCCCUGGAUUUGGGGGUGCAAAGCAGCACUCACUGAAAGCUGUGAUGGCCGGAGCCGUGGAUCCUGAGGGAGCCGUGGAUCCCGAGGCGUUGGCAGUGCCAGUGGUAUCCUCCAAAAAUUCCUCAGUGAGACAGCCUUCACCACAUUUGGGAACAAAGGUGUGCCCACAAACCCCACAAGACACCGUGUCCCCAGCUGCAGUGUCUCCAAGGUGUUUUUGGGGGAAAACCCAGGACUGACAGACAACUGCUGAUGCAAGAACACAUCCAGCAGGAUCAGCAACCCUGGCAGCAGCCAUGGAUCUCCACAUCCAUCCACAUCACCCCCUGAGGGGCCUCCCCCAUGCCCAGGCAGAAGGAGCAGACAACAAACAGCACCAGGAAAUGCGUCACCUUCUUUAAUUAAAAAUAAAAAUACAGGGGAAUAUGGUUUUCUGUGUGGAUACUGGGAAGCAGCUGCAGGCUCUGCACUCCUCUGCCCCGGGGAGCUCCUGGGAGCCAGGCUCAGCAGCCAGGGCUGUGCAAAUUCACAGGGAACAAUCCCAGAGCUCUCCCUGGCCUCCUCUUCCUCACGCAGAGGUGGCACCAGCACGGAGAGGACAGUCCUUGUAACACCGACUCCACAGAGGGCAGCGGGGAAAGGCAGAGCAGCAGGUGUAUUUACAGAUGGGAAACAUUUCAAACACAGCAUUUCUGCCCCGGGAGCAAAGACAAGGGUUUUCCACCCAAAAGCAACAGUGGAAAACCAUCCAGGAGC